UUUUGGCACUUUUAAUCCGGUGUAGUGGCUCAUGAAUUUAUUUUAUCUGUCAACCUCGCCCAUCAAAUUCGGUGGGCGGGGCUAACGCGAAUCUUGUCUUAUCCCCUGCUUUGGUCUGCCGUGAAACCGAAAGUAGAAACAUGGCGGCUGUGUUGAUGGAGGAUCUCCGUGAACUUUCUACAGAGUUGGUGAGAGAUGUCUUAGACCUUGCAGAGUACGUGGAAGCAGGACCUGCUGACCCCGAGCAUGUAGCGUGUAAAGCAGAGGAACUUAUUGAAGUUGUUGGAGUUAUUUCCGCACUUUCUGACCAAGAUGUUGACCGUAGAGUGACUGCAAAUUUAGAAGAAGUACUUCGCCGCUUUUCUGGUACCAGGGUGCAACAGGAGCACACACAGGGACCAGGGCGUUUGGCAUUUGACAUACCGAGGGCCGCUCUGGAACAUCACGUUCAUUGUGGAUUACCAGCCUGUCAAAUUGCAGCGAUGCUCGGAGUGUCAAAGAGAACCAUCAGGAGGCGCAUGCAACAAUACGGUUUAAGGUUUUUACAUUAAAUUCAUGAGUUUUCAGUUUAUGAAUUGCCAGUCUCAUCCACUCCGAAACGAUAUUACAUUUAGUGAAUCACUCGAUGUUAAUGUUUUUUGUUUGUACAGAAAGACAGACCUGUAUUCAGCUGUGAAUGAUGAGGAGUUGGACCGUAUUGUCAGUGAAGUCCACAGAAGACAUCCAAACACCGGCUACAAGCUACAUGCGUGUUCCAAUCUCAAGACUGCAAGAGUCUUUACGCAGAGUUGAUGCAGAGGGAGUCUACAUGAGGCGUCUAAGACUGCGUGUAUUAAGAUGACGGCAGUAUUCUGUUCCUGGCCCAAACUGUUUAUGGCAUAUAGAUGGCAAUCAUAAGCUCAUCAGAUGGAGAUUUGUUGUCCAUGGUGGGGUGGAUGGAUUCAGUCGUUUAGUCGUCUACCUGACUGUGGCUGGCAAUAACAGAGCUAGUACGGUCUUACAGAGCUUUAUCGCUGCUGUUGAGCAGUACGGGCUGCCAUCAAGGGUACGGUCUGAUAAAGGGGGCGAGAAUGCAGAUGUAGCAGAAUUCAUGAUCGGGAGCAGAGGUACAGACAGGAAUUCGCACAUCACAGGCAGAAGUGUCCACAAUCAACGAAUAGAAAGGAUGUGGAGAGAUGUGUAUGAACAUGCCCUGGACCUCUUCUAUCAGAUCUUCACUUCAUUGGAAGAUCAGGGAACACUGAAUCCAGACAAUGAAGUCCAUCUUUUUGCACUGCACUGGAGCUUCCUUCCACUAAUCCAGCAAAGCCUCGACUCUUUCAGGGAUGCUUGGAACUUUCAUGGUCUUAGACCUGAAAGGAAUCAGUCACCACAGCAACUCUGGAGAAGAUACAGAGAGCAAGGCCCUGUGGAGGAUCCUACUGAGGUUUAUGAAGACUAUGGGAUCGACUGGAACGGACCUCAGUCUUCAUGGAGGCAGUGUCAGUCCCCGAGGUUCAGCUGGCCCGUGAGCUCUCGCUGGAAGAGGUGGCCAUUUUGCCAGCUCCAGGAGCUUCUGUAACUGAUGCACUUAGAUCAUAUGUAGAGACUGUGCAAGUUUUAUCAAGAAUCAUAGCAGACUGAUGUCCAACCUAUGCUUUUAUUUAGCAUCUUACAACAAGCAAGCAUAAACUGAAAAAGUUUGCUUUCCUUAAAAAAAGGGGUAUAAAAAGCUGUUUUACUUUGAAGCUCUACCAUAAUCAUUGUUAAGAUCUUGUAAAUGCACUUUAUGCAUAGCUCCACUCCUUUUCUUCCUGUCUCAUUAUUGGCCACAGAAUGAAUAACAUGAAUGCUGUUCUGUUAACACUGAAAGCUGAACGUGCAGAACUGUUUGGUUUUAGUAAGUGGAAAAAAUAUUAUGAAUUUAUCAACUACUGCACAGUAUGUUUCAUGUUUUCAAUUGACCUGACCUACUGAACAGUGCAUUCAAUGACAUCUGUCUGAAAACUUCAACAAGUCCUAAUCCAGUCUGUGCACUACUUAUGGCAGAGACAAGUGCUUCCUUGAAGUCCAUGUAGGCUUUGAAAUGAGCUGGCAGCUUUAGUGUUUCAAAGCAUGUGGCGGACGUAGGAAGGGUUCCCCCAGAGAUCACUUUCAGUUCAGGAGGAAUCUUCUCCCAGCCAACCCAGAAUGUCAGCAGCUGGGCCAAUGUACCUGAUGAAGCUAAAAGUCAUAAAAUGGAUUCAAGACAACAUUUAGUUAAACUUUAAUUGAUCAUAUCUAUCCAUGAGACAUGGAAGCAUUUGUAAAGAGAGCAAUACAUUUUUCAAAUAAGGUGUUAAUACCCGUUUCAAUGAACAUCCUUAGAAAGCCAGUGAAGCGGCACGUGGACUCAAUGUCAAAGUUUUCAUCAUCACUGUCCUCAGCUGGCCAUGUGAUUUUUUUCUAGGAGCAUCUUUAAAAACACAUUGUAAUUAUUUUAAAGUGAGAACUUUUUUGGUGAAGGAAUAUGCAGAUCACAUUCUUGGUAAAUGGAAAAAUAACCAGCUUAGUCAUUGAAAACACAUGUAAAUUCAUUAAGUAAAGUUACAAAUGUAACUAAAUUGACAUACCUGGGGUGUGAACUGCAUUUCAGCCAUUUUAGGGAAAAGAAGUGAGACAACAUCUGGCCUAGAUGUCAGCAGGGGCCAUACCAUCACAUCUUUCAGUCCCUUUCUCAGCUGUUUAAUUUGGCGCAUGGUCCUCCCAAUGACCUAGGAGACAGGCCCGGCCCAUAUUACAGACAAAAUCCUCAACCCAACUUUUACAAAAGUUGGCACAGUAGGUUCAUAAAAGCAUAAUGAAGUGUUUUAUAAAAUCCAUUCAAACUAGUACAGAAUAUGUCAAUCCUUAAUAAAGGUAUUAACACAUUUUCGAAUAAUGUAUUCCAUUUUAUACAUUUGUGCAACUGAUGUCUUUAGUGCUCAAAUGCCGUGGUGAACACUUGACUGU
This is an RNA transcript of Dunckerocampus dactyliophorus (ringed pipefish), 2970 nucleotides long. RefSeq lists it as uncharacterized. The record is from RefSeq and is a predicted model, not a curated record. NCBI's taxonomy places the organism in Eukaryota, Metazoa, Chordata, Actinopteri, Syngnathiformes, Syngnathidae. The transcript has 5 exons.